AGACAUAUUUUAGGCAUCUGUCUCCAGUUAUCACUGUACGGUGAAAAAUCAAUGUCCAGAUAGUUGCGAGCGAGUCUCUUAGAGCCGGCUGUGCAAGGUCUACUGUAACAGUCAAGAUCAUGGAUCUUUAGGCCCUCUACUGCUGCCUUAGCAGAGAAACUACAACAGCUGGCACACAGCCUAAAUGAAGGAGUAUAACUGGUCCAUAUUUGUUGGAGAGUCGCCACAAAGACUGGUGAGGCAAAGUGCCGAGUUGAUGCAGGUUUCCCAUAAUUGAAAACUUAGGAGGGCUGGGUGAAAAGUUGCUUGUUUUGUUCUGCCUUUUUCUUCAACACGAGCAGUGAAGGGAGAAGAAAUAAAAGAAGAGAGGCACAGGAGUUGAAUAUAGAGAACCAUUUUCAGCUUCUUCGUGAAUGAAUAAUGGAGUUUCCUCCAUAUUUUCUUAGACCUUCAAAAUGAUUGACGAGGACCUUUCAGAAUCCAGACACAAUAGUGAAUUGACG
RNAcentral lists this unclassified non-coding RNA (503 nucleotides) under Hevea brasiliensis (rubber tree). The record is from RNAcentral. Lineage: Eukaryota; Viridiplantae; Streptophyta; Magnoliopsida; Malpighiales; Euphorbiaceae.